AACUGGGAUUAGAUACCCCACUAUGCUUAGCCUUAAACAUUGAUUAUUUAUUACAUCAAACAUCCGCCCGGGUAUUACGAACAUUAGUUUAAAACCCAAAGGACUUGGCGGUGCUUAACAUCCACCUAGAGGAGCCUGUUCUA
This 143-nucleotide ribosomal RNA is filed under the name Trachurus trachurus (Atlantic horse mackerel). RNAcentral's name for it is "partial small subunit ribosomal RNA". The record is from RNAcentral. Lineage: Eukaryota; Metazoa; Chordata; Actinopteri; Carangiformes; Carangidae.